UGUAGACCAGGCUAGCCUCGAACUCAGAAAUCCACCUGCCUCUGCCUCCCAAGUGCUGGGAUUAAAGGCUUGCGCCACCACCGCCCGGCAACCUCACACUCCUAAUUCACACUUCUAGACACUCAGAUCUGCUUAGUUGUCACAGAUAUCUCGUUUCAGAAAGCUGGACUGAACUUGAUGUCUUUGUCCACAGACCUGUGUCACCAUCUGCCAUUCCAGCCUCAAUAUGUCCCGUCUCCAUUCACCUGGGCACCAAGCUGGGACCCUAGAUUUCGUUCUGAGCUCUUAAAGCCCCAGCUUCACCUUCUUUAGCAUCUUGUACCUGUCUAGACUAUUUCAUCCCUCACUUAGAUAUGUGAGAGGUACAUAUUAACUCCACACUUAAUAAGCUGGGUGUGGUGGCUGAUGCCUAUAGUUCUGGCACUUGAGGGGGCUGAAGUAGGAAGAUUGCUUUGAGCUUAAGUCCAACCUAGGCUACAUGGGAAUAUCUCCAAAAAAUUUUUUUGAAAUAAACCUAAGUGAAUAAAUAAUACAUUCAUGAACAAAUUCAAGGAUCAUUCUAGUAGCUUCAUAGUUCCCUUCCCUCUUCUAAUCUUAACUAAUCAGUGCAUUCUCUCCUCUCAGCAUAUAAAGUCUUCAAAAGAAGGCAGACCUUGCCAGAUGGUGUGAAGGCCUCGAUGUCUAGCACUUGGAGGAAAUGCUAUUCUCCACUCCCACGCUCCCAGACUUUAGCUUGAGAGUGUGCAGCAGCACAGCAGAGGCCUUGAGAAAUCCUGCUGAGUAAAGAAGCCAGCUUAAAACACAGAUGCCUAAACCUCCGCAGUUCUGCAACCUCCGUACUGCACCUGAGCUACUAGGAUCUGCUUGGGACUCCAGAGACUAUUCCAUGGUGUUCUAAGAAUAUAUUUAAUCUUUUUGUUUUGUUUG
Molecule: long non-coding RNA, 927 nt
Organism: Grammomys surdaster
Lineage: Eukaryota; Metazoa; Chordata; Mammalia; Rodentia; Muridae
Exons: 2
Source: RefSeq, a predicted model, not a curated record